GCCCAGUCCCAGCUACACAAGAGGCUGAAGCAGGUGGAUUGCUUGAACCCAGGAGUUCUAGGCUGUAGUGCCCUAUGCCAGUUGGGUGUCUGCACUAAGUUUGGCAUCAAUAUGGUGGCCUCCCAAGAUGGGGGGACCACAGGUUGCCUAAGGAGUGGUAAAGCAGCCCAGGUCACAGACAGAGCAGGUCAAAGCUCCUGUGCUGAUCAGUAACGGGACUGCACCUGUGAAUAACCGCUGCAUUCCAGCCUGGGCAACAUAGCAAGAUCCUGUCCCU
RNAcentral lists this signal recognition particle RNA (277 nucleotides) under Aotus nancymaae (Ma's night monkey). RNAcentral describes it as "Metazoan signal recognition particle RNA (ENSANAG00000008183.1)". It matches the Rfam family "Metazoan signal recognition particle RNA". Rfam says of the family: The signal recognition particle (SRP) is a universally conserved ribonucleoprotein. It is involved in the co-translational targeting of proteins to membranes. Lineage: Eukaryota; Metazoa; Chordata; Mammalia; Primates; Aotidae. The record is from RNAcentral.